UGCGUAGGCGGAUAAAUAAGUCAGUGGUGAAAUCCUACAGCUUAACUGUAGAACUGCCAUUGAUACUGUAGAUCUUGAGUACGGUUGAGGUGGGCGGAAUGUGUCAUGUAGCGGUGAAAUGCUUAGAUAUGACACAGAACACCAAUUGCGAAGGCAGCUCGCUAAACCGUAACUGACGCUGAGGCACGAAAGCGUGGGGAGCGAACAGGAUUAGAUACCCUGGUAGUCC
RNAcentral lists this ribosomal RNA (229 nucleotides) under uncultured bacterium. Its description in RNAcentral is "partial 16S ribosomal RNA". It matches the Rfam family "Bacterial small subunit ribosomal RNA", at positions 568 to 796 of the family's 1533-position model. The record is from RNAcentral.